UACGUAGGUGGCAAGCGUUGUCCGGAUUUACUGGGCGUAAAGGGCGUGCAGGCGGUUUGUUAAGUCUAGGGUGAAAGCUCCCGGCUCAACUGGGUGAGGUCCUUGGAUACUGGCGAACUUGAGGGAUGCAGAGGAAAGUGGAAUUCCCGGUGUAGUGGUGAUAUGCGUAGAUAUCGGGAGGAACACCAGUGGCGAAGGCGGCUUUCUGGGCAUUUCCUGACGCUGAGACGCGAAAGCGUGGGGAGCGAACCGG
RNAcentral lists this ribosomal RNA (253 nucleotides) under uncultured bacterium. RNAcentral's name for it is "partial 16S ribosomal RNA". It matches the Rfam family "Bacterial small subunit ribosomal RNA", at positions 524 to 776 of the family's 1533-position model. The record is from RNAcentral.